AGUUGAUACUGGUUUCCUUGAGUGCGGUUGAGGUGUAUGGAAUUCGUGGUGUAGCGGUGAAAUGCUUAGAUAUCACGAAGAACUCCGAUUGCGAAGGCAGUACACUAAUCCGUAACUGACGUUGAGGCUCGAAAGUGUGGGUAUCAAACAGGAUUAGAUACCCUGGUAGUCCACACGGUAAACGAUGAAUACUCGCUGUUGGCGAUAUACGGUCAGCGGCCAAGCGAAAGCAUUAAGUAUUCCACCUGGGGAGUACGCCGGCAACGGUGAAACUCAAAGGAAUUGACGGGGGCCCGCACAAGCGGAGGAACAUGUGGUUUAAUUCGAUGAUACGCGAGGAACCUUACCCGGGCUUAAAUUGCAGAGGACAGGCCGAGAGAUCGGCCCUUCUUCGGACCUCUGUGAAGGUGCUGCAUGGUUGUCGUCAGCUCGUGCCGUGAGGUGUCGGCUUAAGUGCCAUAACGAGGGUAACCCUUGCCAUUAGUUACUAACAGGUAAUGCUGAGGACUCUAGUGGGACUGCCAUCGUAAGAUGUGAGAGAAGGUGGGGAUAGCGUCAAAUCAGCACGGCCCUUACGUCCCGGGCUACACACGUGUUACAAUGGGAGGUACAGAAGGCCGCUACACGGCGACAGGGCGCCAAUCCCCAAAACCUCUCUCAGUUCGGAUUGGAGUCUGCACCCCGACUCCAUGAAGCUGGAUUCGCUAGUAAUCGCGCAUCAGCCACGGCGCGGUGGAAUACGUUCCCCGGGUCCUUGUACACAC
RNAcentral lists this ribosomal RNA (764 nucleotides) under uncultured bacterium. RNAcentral's name for it is "bacterial SSU rRNA". It matches the Rfam family "Bacterial small subunit ribosomal RNA", at positions 625 to 1390 of the family's 1533-position model. The record is from RNAcentral.